This 381-nucleotide long non-coding RNA is filed under the name Dromaius novaehollandiae (emu). Its description in RNAcentral is "lncRNA (ENSDNVG00000012900.1)". The record is from RNAcentral. Lineage: Eukaryota; Metazoa; Chordata; Aves; Casuariiformes; Dromaiidae.
ACAACAUGUUCUCUCCCUCUUGUUUUUCUAUUUUUGGCAGGUUCUGCCAUGAAAGCUGCGGCAAUUACUACAGCUGAAAGUUGGUGCAAAGACUUAAGAUGACACCCUCUAGCAUGGAGCUUUAUAAAGAUGAAUUUUGAAGCCAAUCUGCAAUCCAAACCUAUUCCUGAACGCUUCAGAUGAAAUUUGUUUUGGCCUUGCUGGCGGAAAAAGGUGAAAGUGGAAGUCUUGUAUUGAGACUCUCAGAAGGCUCCCAGAUAUCCUAUAGAACUUCUGUAGACAAAGUGAGUAUGUUUUGUUGCAUUUAUGCCAUAGCUGUAAUACAAAGGUAAACAAAGUAGUCAUAGUUUCUAGGAUUUGUAUAUCACAUUUUAACUUCUG